Molecule: small RNA, 77 nt
Filed under: Xanthomonas dyei pv. eucalypti
Lineage: Bacteria; Pseudomonadati; Pseudomonadota; Gammaproteobacteria; Lysobacterales; Lysobacteraceae
Also listed under: 2 other names
Description: sX9 sRNA
Rfam family: Xanthomonas sRNA sX9
Source: RNAcentral
AGGGACCACGCGUACACGUCGUUCCUGAGCGCCCCGUCGAUACCCACCUGACGGCUGCUCGCUACGUUUUUUCAGCC